RNAcentral lists this ribosomal RNA (253 nucleotides) under uncultured bacterium. RNAcentral describes it as "partial 16S ribosomal RNA". It matches the Rfam family "Bacterial small subunit ribosomal RNA", at positions 524 to 776 of the family's 1533-position model. The record is from RNAcentral.
GACGAACCGUGCGAACGUUGUUCGGAAUCACUGGGUUUAAAGGGCGCGUAGGCGGGCUGUCAAGUCGGUGGUGAAAUCGUUCCGCUCAACGGGACAAUGGCCUUCGAUACUGGCGGUCUGGAGGGAGGUAGGGGCAUGCGGAACUUCCGGUGGAGCGGUGAAAUGUGUAGAUAUCGGAAGGAACACCGAUGGCGAAAGCAGCGUGCUGGACCUUUUCUGACGCUGAGGCGCGAAAGCCAGGGGAGCAAACGGG